UGGGUGAGGAUUUGAAGAAUGAAAAUUAAAAACUAUCCGAUAAAAUGAAAGGAUCUGAGAGAUGAAAAACAAAAUUACAAAAUAAUCAUUUUGAACAUGAAAAAAGUUGGAGAUAUAAUAAUAAUGAAGAAAGUGCAUAUGGUUAAUAAUAAUAAUAAUAAUAAUAAUAAUAAUAAUAAUAAUAAUAAUCCUAGAAAAUAUAUUGCUUUAAUU
This 213-nucleotide long non-coding RNA is filed under the name Vigna radiata. RNAcentral describes it as "long non-coding RNA (VRAD_LNC009358)". The record is from RNAcentral. Lineage: Eukaryota; Viridiplantae; Streptophyta; Magnoliopsida; Fabales; Fabaceae.